AUUGAACGCUGGCGGCAUGCCUAACACAUGCAAGUCGAACGGCAGCACAGUAAAGACUUCGGUCUUUAUGGGUGGCGAGUGGCGGACGGGUGAGUAACGCGUAGGAAUCUGUCCUGGAGGAUGGGAUAACCCGAGGAAACUCGGGCUAAUACCGCAUGAUAUCGAGAGAUCAAAAGCAGGGGACCCUUCGGGGCCUUGCGCUCUAGGAUGAGCCUACGUCGGAUUAGCUAGUUGGUGGGGUAAAGGUCUACCAAGGCGACGAUCCGUAGCUGGUCUGAGAGGAUGACCAGCCACACUGGGACUGGGCCACGGCCCAGACUCCUACGGGAGGCAGCAGUGGGGAAUAUUGGACAAUGGGGGAAACCCUGAUCCAGCGACGCCGCGUGUGUGAAGAAGGCCUGCGGGUUGUAAAGCACUUUUAGUGGGGAUGAAAUGUGCAGGGUUAAUACCUCUGCAUUUUGACCUAACCCACAGAAAAAGCACCGGCUAACUCUGUGCCAGCCGCCGCAGUAA
This 513-nucleotide ribosomal RNA is filed under the name uncultured bacterium. RNAcentral's name for it is "partial 16S ribosomal RNA". It matches the Rfam family "Bacterial small subunit ribosomal RNA", at positions 30 to 523 of the family's 1533-position model. The record is from RNAcentral.